Molecule: ribosomal RNA, 254 nt
Filed under: uncultured bacterium
Lineage: Bacteria
Description: partial 16S ribosomal RNA
Rfam family: Bacterial small subunit ribosomal RNA
Source: RNAcentral
UACGGAAGAUGCAAGCGUUAUCCGGAAUUACUGGGCGUAAAGAGUUGCGUAGGUGGCAUUGUAAGCAAAUAGUGAAAGCGUUCGGCUCAACCGGAUACACAUUAUUUGAACUGCAAAGCUAGAGGAUGAGAGAGGUUAUUGGAAUUCCCAGUGUAGGAGUGAAAUCCGUAGAUAUUGGGAGGAACACCGAUGGCGUAGGCAGAUAACUGGCUCAUUCCUGACACUAAGGCACGAAAGCGUGGGGAGCAAACGGG